RNAcentral lists this long non-coding RNA (785 nucleotides) under Sus scrofa (pig). RNAcentral's name for it is "lncRNA (ENSSSCG00070015440.1)". Lineage: Eukaryota; Metazoa; Chordata; Mammalia; Artiodactyla; Suidae. The record is from RNAcentral.
CUGGAAAGGAAAUAGAGAUGCUAUUGUUCUAAUAGUUCAUUAUGCGAAUAGAAAAACUGAGACACAAAGAAAAAGUAACUUAGCUAAAGCUUUCAGUUAGUACAAAGUCAAAACUAAAACUAAGCUCCCUGAGUUCUUCACAGUGCUAUUUCUAUCACAUUGUGAAACUGAAGCGUCAUCUUCUCUUCCUGAGAAGACCAGUUUGCUAAUGCAAAGAGGGGACAAGACUUUCACAGCCCAAGGAGACUCUACCCAAACGUAAUGACUACACACGUCUGGAGCAGUGCCAGGAGCCAGCCCCAAACAAGAGCUCAUGUGACCAGUCUUCCUAAGUAGAGCUGAGCCUGCUGAUCCAGGGAGAGGUGGGCGGAACAGCUGGAUAUCUGCCUGGCUGAUUACUACGAAGCCCUGCCGUGCUGAACGUUCCCCAUCCCCAAGGAGAAGAGGAGGCCUAAGAGCAGGCAGCUCUGAAGGAAAGAGCAUUUAAGGACCUCAGCGUGAUGUGAUGUGUGGCAUGAUUUCCUUUCCCCAUCCAACCAGUUAGAUAAAUCACACCUUAUCCCAGGAGGAUGAGGAAGAAGGCACUGAAGGAGUGCAAAAGGAGUUUGCCCACUGUUUUGUCAAGAGAGUUGACAGCAUGGAGUUCAGAAAGCAGAUGCACCUUACAGGCUUCCAAAGGUGAUGAAACAACUGGAUUCAACUACUGUGUAAUCAACUGUGGUCAGGUAAAGGUUUCUUAGUAUGAGAGCCUGAGAAUAAUAAAGGUGCAUUGGGAAGUGGUUGCA